AUUGAACGCUGGCGGCAGGCCUAACACAUGCAAGUCGAGCGGAAACGAGUUAUCUGAACCUUCGGGGGACGAUAACGGCGUCGAGCGGCGGACGGGUGAGUAAUGCCUAGGAAAUUGCCCUGAUGUGGGGGAUAACCAUUGGAAACGAUGGCUAAUACCGCAUAAUGCCUACGGGCCAAAGAGGGGGACCUUCGGGCCUCUCGCGUCAGGAUAUGCCUAGGUGGGAUUAGCUAGUUGGUGAGGUAAUGGCUCACCAAGGCGACGAUCCCUAGCUGGUCUGAGAGGAUGAUCAGCCACACUGGAACUGAGACACGGUCCAGACUCCUACGGGAGCAGCAGUGGGGAAUAUUGCACAAUGGGCGCAAGCCUGAUGCAGCCAUGCCGCGUGUGUGAAGAGGCCUUUCGGGUUGUAAAGCACUUUCAGUCGUGAGGGUGGUGUAGUAUAGCUGCAUUACUUGACGUUUAGCGAC
RNAcentral lists this ribosomal RNA (470 nucleotides) under uncultured bacterium. RNAcentral describes it as "bacterial SSU rRNA". It matches the Rfam family "Bacterial small subunit ribosomal RNA", at positions 30 to 482 of the family's 1533-position model. The record is from RNAcentral.